AUUGAACGCUGGCGGCAGGCCUAACACAUGCAAGUCGAACGAGUGGCGAACGGGUGAGUAAUAUAUAGGAACGUACCGAGUAAUGGGGGAUAACCAAUCGAAAGAUUGGCUAAUACCGCAUAUUAUUCGAGCGGCCGAUAACUGAUUAGCUAGUGGGUGGGGUAAAGGCCUACCAAAGCGACGAAAAGUAGCGGGUCUGGGAGGACGAUCAUCCACACGGGUACUGGUACACGGUCCAGACUCCUACGUGAGGCAGCAGUGGGGAAUUUUGGUCAAUGGGGGAAAGCCUGAUCCAGCCAUGCCGCGUGUAUGAAGAAGUCCUUCGGGUUGUAAAGUACUUUUGUUAGGGAAGCGGUACCUAAAGAAUAAGCACCGGCUAACUACGUGCCAGCCGCCGCGGUAAUUC
This 406-nucleotide ribosomal RNA is filed under the name uncultured bacterium. RNAcentral's name for it is "partial 16S ribosomal RNA". It matches the Rfam family "Bacterial small subunit ribosomal RNA", at positions 30 to 526 of the family's 1533-position model. The record is from RNAcentral.